GUCUAUGGCCAUACUAUCCUGAACACACCCGAUCUCGUCUGAUCUCAGAAGCUAAGCAGGGUCAGGCCUGGUUAGUAUUUGGAUGGGAGACUACCUGGGAAUACUGGGUGCCGUAGGCU
This is a ribosomal RNA of Rhineura floridana, 119 nucleotides long. Lineage: Eukaryota; Metazoa; Chordata; Lepidosauria; Squamata; Rhineuridae. The record is from RefSeq and is a predicted model, not a curated record.